AGUNGUCAUAUGCUUAUCUCAAAGAUUAAGCCAUGCAUGUCUAAGUACACAGUCUCAUAAACUGAAACCGCGGAUGGCUCAUUAUAACAGCUACUAUUUAAGAGACAUAAUCUUUUGCCAUGGGAUAACUGUGGUAAUUCUAGAGCUAAUAUUUAACAGAAUGCCGUGACUCACGAAGCGGCGGAUUUAUUAGAUCAAAACUAACCUGUCGCAAGGCAGCAUUUUGAUGACUCUGGAUAACUUUACUGAUCGUACAACGCUAUGUUGACGACGAAUCUCUUGAAGUGUCUGACCUAUCAACUUUCGAUGGUNAGAUCAAAGCUUACCAUGGUUAUNACGGGUUACGGGGAAUCNNUGUUCGAUUCCGGAGAGGGAGCCUGAGAAACGGCUACCACAUCCACGGAAGGCAGCAGGCGCGAAAAUUACCCACUGCCGGUUCGGCGAGGUAGUGACAAAAAAUAACAAUAUGGACCCUAGUGGUUUCAUAAUUGCAAUGAGAACAUUUUAAAUACUUUAUCAAGUAUCAAUUGGAGGGCAAGUCUGGUGCCAGCAGCCGCGGUAAUUCCAGCUCCAAAAGCGUAUAUUAAAGUUGUUGCAGUUAAAAAGCUCGUAGUUGAAAUUGAGGAAUCGAUUGUAGGGAAGCUUCGGCUGAAAUACUGAUUGUCCUUUYAGUCGUGUAUAUUCUUGAGUCACUYAAUUGAGAUUUUUGAAUAACCGACAAGUUUACUUUGAAAAAAUUAGAGUGCUUAAAGCAGGCUUAUGCUUGUAUAUUGUUGCAUGGAAUAAUAGAAUAAGACUUCGGUUUUAUUUUGUUGGUUUUCGAAACUGAAGUAAUGAUUAAAAGAGACUGCCGGGGGCAUAUGUAUGCUGGUGCUAGAGGUGAAAUUCUGAGACCAUCAGCAGACAAUCUACUGCGAAAGCAUUUGCCNAGAAUGUUUUCAUUAAUCWGGAACGAAAGUCUGAGGAUCGAAGACGAUCAGAUACCGUCCUAGUUCUGACCAUAAACUAUGCCAACUGACAGUUAGCAAAGAUAUUUAUUUCAUCUUGCUAGAAGUCACCGGGAAACCUAAGUCUUUGGGUUCCGGGGGAAGUAUGGUUGCAAAGCUGAAACUUAAAGGAAUUGACGGAAGGGCACCACCAGGAGUGGAGCCUGCGGCUUAAUUUGACUCAACACGGGAAAUCUCACCCGGUCCGGACACUGUGAGGAUUGACAGAUUGAUAGCUCUUUCUUGAUUCGGUGGGUGGUGGUGCAUGGCCGUUCUUAGUUGGUGGAGCGAUUUGUCAGGUUAAUUCCGAUAACGAACGAGACUCUGACUUGCUAAAUAGUGGAUCUAUUUUAAUACGUAAAUGAUCACUUCUUUAGAAGAAUAAAUAGCGUUUAGCUAAAUGAAGAAGAGCAAUAACAGGUCUGUGAUGCCCUAAGAUGUCSGGGCCCACACGCGCGNNAACANUGGCAGUAACAAGGAGUUAUGUCCUUACUAGAAAUNGUUGGGUUAUCUUGUUAAACACUGUCGUAACAGGAAUUGUGAAUUGAAAUUAUUUCACAUAAACGAGGAAUUCCUAGUAAGCGCAAGUCACUAGCUUGCGCUGAWUACGUCCCUGCCCUUWGUACACACCGCCCGUCGSUACUACCGAUUGAAUGGUUUAGUGAGAUUGUUGGAUUCUGAGCUAAGAAAUGGCAACAUUUCUAUGAUUGGGAAAAGACACCCAAACUUGAUCAUUUAGAGGAAGUUAAANUCGUAACNAGGUUUCCGUAGGUNAACCUGCGGAAGGA
This 1774-nucleotide ribosomal RNA is filed under the name Dugesia ryukyuensis. Its description in RNAcentral is "SSU rRNA". It matches the Rfam family "Eukaryotic small subunit ribosomal RNA". Lineage: Eukaryota; Metazoa; Platyhelminthes; Tricladida; Dugesiidae. The record is from RNAcentral.